CACAUCAAGUGCAUAGUAUAUUUUGCUCAUCUGUCACCAAAAUCGCUAAUCUGUUACUAAGCUGAUAAUAUUAUUGGGAGCUGGGGGAGGGGGAAAGAAUUGGUUGCAACUGAGACGAAAAUAUCACUCUUUCUCUUUCAUUUGGAAGGAUUAAUGGAAAAAGCACAAAUGGACUCCACCAUAUCAUUCAAGCAGUCAGGAAUCGAAUGAACAAAUUCUAGUAUGGCCAAGGGUGGCAGAAAAAACAUGCUCUCUAAAGAUAAGGAAAUGACAGCAUAAGACGGUUGCAAAAAGACUCAGAGAUCUAAGGGGCCGGAAUACGUGCACAAGUCGGCACCACCAAGGGCCGCACAAGCUAGGCACGGGCUGUCAAAACAAAGGGUUGCCAUGCGGGAAUUCCAAGAUGGUUUUGCCCAUUGUCAACUAUGUUGUUAAUGGGAUGGGAGAUGGGGGAGUAACCAAUUGAUAAUGUGUAAAUAUUUCUCUUGCAGCAGGAUUUCAACAAGUUGCUGGGUGUUAGAGUCCGCCAACUCCAUGUGGUAUCUGCGUAUAUGACAUCUAGCUGGAAUUGAAAGAAAAAAAGUACUUCUAAGCAUGGCAUCCUUUGGUUUGAUACACGUUGCUCUGUUGUUAUGGGAUGUGAAAGCCAGAUUGCUCACUACGCACCAUGAUUCUGGCUCAUAGCAACUAGCAGAGAGAGACAGCCAGAGAGAGAGGGAGCACAAGCAGGGGGAUUGGGAGAGGAAGAAGCAG
Ailuropoda melanoleuca (giant panda) is the source of this 753-nucleotide long non-coding RNA. RefSeq lists it as uncharacterized. The transcript has 3 exons. Lineage: Eukaryota; Metazoa; Chordata; Mammalia; Carnivora; Ursidae. The record is from RefSeq and is a predicted model, not a curated record.